This 2489-nucleotide ribosomal RNA is filed under the name Listeria monocytogenes. RNAcentral's name for it is "partial 23S ribosomal RNA". It matches the Rfam family "Bacterial large subunit ribosomal RNA", at positions 375 to 2861 of the family's 2925-position model. Lineage: Bacteria; Bacillati; Bacillota; Bacilli; Caryophanales; Listeriaceae. The record is from RNAcentral.
GUAGUUGAAAUGGCUUUCCCUCCAGAGUGGAUCCUGAGUACGGCGGAACACGUGAAAUUCCGUCGGAAUCCGGGAGGACCAUCUCCCAAGGCUAAAUACUCCCUAGUGACCGAUAGUGAACCAGUACCGUGAGGGAAAGGUGAAAAGCACCCCGGAAGGGGAGUGAAACAGUUCCUGAAACCGUGUGCCUACAAGUAGUUAGAGCCCGUUAAUGGGUGAUAGCGUGCCUUUUGUAGAAUGAACCGGCGAGUUACGAUUUGUUGCAAGGUUAAGCGGAAAAAGCGGAGCCGUAGCGAAAGCGAGUCUGAAUAGGGCGCAUAAGUAACAGGUCGUAGACCCGAAACCAGGUGAUCUACCCAUGUCCAGGAUGAAGGUAAGGUAAUACUUACUGGAGGUCCGAACCCACGCACGUUGAAAAGUGCGGGGAUGAGGUGUGGGUAGCGGAGAAAUUCCAAUCGAACUUGGAGAUAGCUGGUUCUCUCCGAAAUAGCUUUAGGGCUAGCCUCGAGGUAAAGAGUCAUGGAGGUAGAGCACUGUUUGGACUAGGGGCCCUUCUCGGGUUACCGAAUUCAGAUAAACUCCGAAUGCCAUGUACUUAUACUCGGGAGUCAGACUGCGAGUGAUAAGAUCCGUAGUCGAAAGGGAAACAGCCCAGACCACCAGUUAAGGUCCCCAAAUAUAUGUUAAGUGGAAAAGGAUGUGGGGUUGCUUAGACAACCAGGAUGUUGGCUUAGAAGCAGCCACCAUUGAAAGAGUGCGUAAUAGCUCACUGGUCGAGUGACCCCGCGCCGAAAAUGUACCGGGGCUAAACAUAUUACCGAAACUGUGGAUGAACCUCUUUAGAGGUUCGUGGUAGGAGAGCGUUCUAAGGGCGGUGAAGUCAGACCGGAAGGACUGGUGGAGCGCUUAGAAGUGAGAAUGCCGGUAUGAGUAGCGAAAGAAGGGUGAGAAUCCCUUCCACCGAAUAUCUAAGGUUUCCUGAGGAAGGCUCGUCCGCUCAGGGUUAGUCGGGACCUAAGCCGAGGCCGAUAGGCGUAGGCGAUGGACAACAGGUAGAGAUUCCUGUACCAGUGCUAAUUGUUUAACCGAUGGGGUGACACAGAAGGAUAGGGAAUCGCACGAAUGGAAAUGUGCGUCCAAGCAGUGAGUGUGAGAAGUAGGCAAAUCCGCUUCUCGCGAAGCAUGAGCUGUGAUGGGGAAGGAAAUUAAGUACGGAAGUUCCUGAUUUCACGCUGUCAAGAAAAGCCUCUAGGAAGAGUAGUACUGCCCGUACCGCAAACCGACACAGGUAGAUGAGGAGAGAAUCCUAAGGUGAGCGAGAGAACUCUCGUUAAGGAACUCGGCAAAAUGACCCCGUAACUUCGGGAGAAGGGGUGCUCUAUUAGGGUGCAAGCCCGAGAGAGCCGCAGUGAAUAGGCCCAGGCGACUGUUUAGCAAAAACACAGGUCUCUGCAAAACCGUAAGGUGACGUAUAGGGGCUGACGCCUGCCCGGUGCUGGAAGGUUAAGAGGAGUGCUUAGCUUCGGCGAAGGUACGAAUUGAAGCCCCAGUAAACGGCGGCCGUAACUAUAACGGUCCUAAGGUAGCGAAAUUCCUUGUCGGGUAAGUUCCGACCCGCACGAAAGGCGCAACGAUCUGGGCACUGUCUCAACGAGAGACUCGGUGAAAUUAUAGUACCUGUGAAGAUGCAGGUUACCCGCGACAGGACGGAAAGACCCCGUGGAGCUUUACUGCAACCUGAUAUGGAAUGUUUGUACCGCUUGUACAGGAUAGGUAGGAGCCGAAGAGACGUGUGCGCUAGCAUACGAGGAGGCAAUGGUGGGAUACUACCCUGGCUGUAUGACCAUUCUAACCCGCCACGCUUAGCGCGUGGGGAGACAGUGUCAGGUGGGCAGUUUGACUGGGGCGGUCGCCUCCUAAAGAGUAACGGAGGCGCCCAAAGGUUCCCUCAGAAUGGAUGGAAAUCAUUCGCAGAGUGUAAAGGCACAAGGGAGCUUGACUGCGAGACUGACAAGUCGAGCAGGGACGAAAGUCGGGCUUAGUGAUCCGGUGGUUCCGCAUGGAAGGGCCAUCGCUCAACGGAUAAAAGCUACCCCGGGGAUAACAGGCUUAUCUCCCCCAAGAGUCCACAUCGACGGGGAGGUUUGGCACCUCGAUGUCGGCUCGUCGCAUCCUGGGGCUGUAGUCGGUCCCAAGGGUUGGGCUGUUCGCCCAUUAAAGCGGCACGCGAGCUGGGUUCAGAACGUCGUGAGACAGUUCGGUCCCUAUCCGUCGCGGGCGCAGGAAAUUUGAGAGGAGCUGUCCUUAGUACGAGAGGACCGGGAUGGACACACCGCUGGUGUACCAGUUGUUCCGCCAGGAGCAUCGCUGGGUAGCUAUGUGUGGCAGGGAUAAACGCUGAAAGCAUCUAAGCGUGAAGCCCCCCUCAAGAUGAGAUUUCCCAUUUCUUCGGAAAGUAAGAUCCCUGAAAGAUGAUCAGGUAGAUAGGU